UCUCUCUCUCUCUCUCUCUCUCUCUCUCUCUCUCUCUCUCUCUCUCUAUCUCUAUAUAUAUAUAUAUAUAUAUAUAUAUAUAUAUAUAUAUAUAUAUAUAUAUAUAUAUAUAUAAAAUUGAGCCCCUAUACUUUUAAAAGUAUCAAGUUGUUUGUGCUUAUAGAUUUUUGAUCAUUGGAUUAAGGAAUGUGCGGUUAGAAUGAUAUAAGACCUCUAGAGUUGAGUGGGUGUUGGUUGAAUAGUAUGAUUUUACGGUUGAAAAUAAUCAAAGAGUUAGAUCUAACAGUAAAAAAUUUAAAAGCAUCAAGUGCUUGGUGAUUUUACAAGCAUCAUAGCCGGACUCUCUCUCUCUCUCUAUAUAUAUAUAUACUCACACACAAGUGUAAUGCCCGCAACAUUUAUAAAUUAAAUUAAAUUUACAUAUAAUUUUUAAAUUAAAAUAAAUUUUAAAUCUGUAUUUUAAAUUU
This 467-nucleotide long non-coding RNA is filed under the name Ananas comosus (pineapple). RNAcentral's name for it is "long non-coding RNA (ACOM_LNC042201)". Lineage: Eukaryota; Viridiplantae; Streptophyta; Magnoliopsida; Poales; Bromeliaceae. The record is from RNAcentral.